This 438-nucleotide ribosomal RNA is filed under the name uncultured bacterium. RNAcentral's name for it is "bacterial SSU rRNA". It matches the Rfam family "Bacterial small subunit ribosomal RNA", at positions 338 to 793 of the family's 1533-position model. The record is from RNAcentral.
CCUACGGGUUGCAGCAGUGGGGAAUAUUGGACAAUGGGCGAAAGCCUGAUCCAGCAAUGCCGCGUGUGUGAAGAAGGCCUUAGGGUUGUAAAGCUCUUUCACCGGUGAAGAUAAUGACGGUAACCGGAGAAGAAGCCCCGGCUAACUCCGUGCCAGCAGCCGCGGUAAUACGAAGGGGGCUAGCGUUGUUCGGAAUUACUGGGCGUAAAGCGCGCGUAGGCGGAUAGAUAAGUCAGAGGUGAAAUCCCGGGGCUCAACCCCGGAAUUGCCUUUGAUACUGUUUAUCUUGAGUGCAGAAGAGGUAAGUGGAAUUCCGAGUGUAGAGGUGAAAUUCGUAGAUAUUCGGAGGAACACCAGUGGCGAAGGCGGCUUACUGGUCUGCAACUGACGCUGAGGCGCGAAAGCGUGGGGAGCAAACAGGAUUAGAUACCCCGGUAG